Molecule: ribosomal RNA, 620 nt
Filed under: Tenacibaculum sp. MR08-51
Lineage: Bacteria; Pseudomonadati; Bacteroidota; Flavobacteriia; Flavobacteriales; Flavobacteriaceae
Description: bacterial SSU rRNA
Rfam family: Bacterial small subunit ribosomal RNA
Source: RNAcentral
AAAUGAAGAUUAAUACUCCAUAAUAUUGGGAAGUGGCAUCACUAUCUAAUUANNGAUUUAUCGGUACAAGAUGACUAUGCGUCCUAUUAGCUAGAUGGUAAGGUAACGGCUUACCAUGGCAACGAUAGGUAGGGGGUCUGAGAGGAUUAUCCCCCACACUGGUACUGAGACACGGACCAGACUCCUACGGGAGGCAGCAGUGAGGAAUAUUGGUCAAUGGAGGCAACUCUGAACCAGCCAUGCCGCGUGCAGGAAGACUGCCCUAUGGGUUGUAAACUGCUUUUAUACAGGAAGAAACUUAUCCACGUGUGGGUAACUGACGGUACUGUAAGAAUAAGCACCGGCUAACUCCGUGCCAGCAGCCGCGGUAAUACGGAGGGUGCAAGCGUUAUCCGGAAUCAUUGGGUUUAAAGGGUCCGCAGGCGGUCAAUUAAGUCAGAGGUGAAAUCCUACAGCUUANCUGUAGAACUGCCUUUGAUACUGGUUGACUUGAGUCAUAUGGAAGUAGAUAGAAUGUGUAGUGUAGCGGUGAAAUGCAUAGAUAUUACNCAGAAUACCGAUUGCGAAGGCAGUCUACUACGUAUGUACUGACGCUCAUGNACGAAAGCGUGGGGAGCGAA